This 443-nucleotide ribosomal RNA is filed under the name uncultured bacterium. RNAcentral describes it as "bacterial SSU rRNA". It matches the Rfam family "Bacterial small subunit ribosomal RNA", at positions 331 to 792 of the family's 1533-position model. The record is from RNAcentral.
CGAGACUCCUACGGGAGGCAGCAGUGGGGAAUAUUGCACAAUGGGGGGAACCCUGAUGCAGCGACGCCGCGUGGGUGAAGGAGCACCUCGGUGCGUAAAGCCCUAUCGGCAGGGAAGAAACAGACGGUACCUGACUAAGAAGCCCCGGCUAACUACGUGCCAGCAGCCGCGGUAAUACGUAGGUGGCGAGCGUUGUCCGGAAUUACUGGGUGUAAAGGGAGCGUAGGCGGGAGUGCAAGUUGAAUGUAUAAACUAUCGGCUCAACUGAUAGAAGCGUUCAAAACUGCACUUCUUGAGUGAAGUAGAGGCAGGCGGAAUUCCUAGUGUAGCGGUGAAAUGCGUAGAUAUUAGGAGGAACACCAGUGGCGAAGGCGGCUUACUGGACUGUAACUGACGUUGAGGCUCGAAAGCGUGGGGAGCAAACAGGAUUAGAUACCCGAGUA